This 71-nucleotide transfer RNA is filed under the name human gut metagenome. It matches the Rfam family "tRNA". From Rfam's summary of the family: Transfer RNA (tRNA) molecules are approximately 80 nucleotides in length. Their secondary structure includes four short double-helical elements and three loops (D, anti-codon, and T loops). The record is from RNAcentral.
AGGCGUAGCUCAGUUGGUCAGAGCACUUGCUUGACAUGCAAGGGGUCGGUGGUUCAAAUCCACUCGUCUUC